UCGGGAAUAUUGCGCAAUGGAGGAAACUCUGACGCAGUGACGCCGCGUGCAGGAAGAAGGUUUUCGGAUUGUAAACUGCUUUAGACAGGGAAGAAAAAAAUGACAGUACCUGUAGAAUAAGCUCCGGCUAACUACGUGCC
Molecule: ribosomal RNA, 140 nt
Filed under: uncultured bacterium
Lineage: Bacteria
Description: partial 16S ribosomal RNA
Rfam family: Bacterial small subunit ribosomal RNA
Source: RNAcentral